This 68-nucleotide small nucleolar RNA is filed under the name Accipiter nisus (Eurasian sparrowhawk). Lineage: Eukaryota; Metazoa; Chordata; Aves; Accipitriformes; Accipitridae. The record is from RNAcentral.
CCCGCCGAGGAUGAGCCGUUACCGCCCCAGGCUGAUCCCCCUGAGUGAGUGGUUCCACCUGAGGCGGG